GACACGAGAGAAGCGGACUGCAAGUCCUGUGGGAAGAAGGCUCCGCCUACCCUUCCUCAUUCUGUUUGCAGAUGUCACAGCUCCCACAGGUGUGUAGGCACAGGAUGCCUUCUGGUUCAGCUGAACUCCUGGCCAAAGAAAUGGAGGCUCUUUCAGCUCUUCCUUUCAAGUCAAGAGCAUUCAAAAGGGAUACGCCGAUGGGAGAAUACACCCAUCCUUGUAGCUCAAGAAAAGGCAAGAAUAAAAGAAUAAACAAUAGCCAUACCAUUCCAUGCCAGCUGCUAUAAUUACUAUCCAUUGUCAACUUGACGGUAUUUCGAAUCAUACUGGAAACAAGAUUCUGAGUGUGUCAAUAUUUCCCGAGUGGAAGAAGGAAGACCACACUCUGAGGACCAACCACAGAACUGGAGUGCCCAGACUGAAUAAAAAAAGAGAGAAUGAAGAUCUGAGCUCUCUGUUUCUUGCUGCCCCGCCUCCAUACCGAAACGGACUGUCAUCUCUCUGGGACGUAUCUAAACCUUUCCUUCUAUAAUACUUCCUGGUUCUGGGGCCUGGCAGUGCAUGCUGUUGGUCAAGAUAUUUUAUCACAGCAACAGAACAGUAACUGAUCCACCAGCCAGAGGACUAACCUUGCAGGACUUUCUAAGGAUAGGAGUUUCAGGCCCUCCGUAUGAACACUGAUGUACAAUUAGCUGCAAUAAGGGACAGCACUAUGGAACAAAGGUUUCACCCUUCGUAGGUUUCCUAAGUACUCCUAGUGUCUGAGAAACACAUUUAUCCUGUCUGUUUAGAGGUUGGGAAUCUCUCUGGGAGUUCUAGACCAGCCAGAUACACGGUGAGACCUUGUCUCCAAAACAACAACAACAAUACCAAUAAAAACCCCAAACAAAGACAACAACACAGAGACGCAGUACUUUAGGGCUGGACACUGUAGUGCAAGAUUAACUCCAGCACUCAAGAGGGAAAGGAGAGGAGUCCAAACAGUCUGGGUAACAUAGGGACUCUGACGAUCAGCACAGGACACAUAGUGAGAGCCUUCACUAAGAAACUGCAAUGAAGGUGAGGGUGAGGGUGGGUGGGAAAGAUGGCUCAGCAGCUAAAAGCAUUGCUAUUCUUGCAGUGACCAGGGUUCGCUUCCCAGCACUCAUGUGGCUGCUCAUAGCCAUCUGUAACUACACUUCCAGGGAAUCCAAUGCCCUUUCUGAUUUCCUUGGGUACCAGGCACACGCACUGUGUGCAUACAAGCAGCAAAAUACUAGUACAUAUAACAUUCAAAAAUCUAAAACACAAACAACAACAAACCCUAAAACCCACAAUGGGGCUGGAAAGAUGAUUUAGCAUUCAAAAGCACUUUUAACCCUUCUGUGGACCAAAGUUGGGUUUCUGGGAUCCAUGAUAGACAGCUCACAAUUGUGCCUAACUCCAUAACUCCACUCCAAUGGAUCUGACACCCUCUGUUGGCCUCCACAAGUACCCACAACUAUGUGGCAUUCGUGUAAACCACAUACACUAAUAAAUAUAUAAAUGCAGUUUAUUCAGUCUGUAUAUUACUCUUAUCUUUUAAAAAAUUACCACCAGCAACAUGUAUGACUUAAAAACCACAGUUUUAGUCUGACUUCCUUCGCCAAGCAUUUUCUUCUAAAAAUGCCACUGAAAACGGAGAGACCAUUAAGGACCUGAUAACAGCUACUCUCACAAAUUCCUAGUAUAGGAAUAGAAUAAAACACAUAUACUCACAACCCAGGGGUCAGGUUAAAGAAACCUGAUCAAACUGCACACACACAUCUUUGCAAGUCUAUAUGAAUAUAAUUGUGCAUACAAAAAGUAACUUAUGUCCAGUUAUUCAUUCCAACAAUGCCAAUCCUAUAAUCUACAUGUCCAUCAAAAGGUCACUAUUUACAUUGUGGUACAUCUGUAUAGUAGGUGACUCUGUGACCGCUUUUAAAGGCUAUUAACUCAUCAGCUUCCCUCCACAGGUAGUUAGGAAAAGGUUACAGUGUGUUACGCUAUACAAUGCAUGUUUUUACAUUAUGAAGGAGGUAAAUACAAACUCAUUUGCUUAUGUAGGCAUUCUACAGAGGAUGUUUUUGACACUGACAACAAAGGCUGAGGGAGAGGCAAAAGUUUAGGUGAAAUCUGUGUAUCCAGAAAAAAAUAAGAAUGCUUUUUUUUUCAACCCAAGUUGUAUCAGUGUAUCUUUUUGCCUGUCGUUUUAACCAUCUGACGUCCUGCAGUGUCUAGAGCAUAAAACCACAUUAUUUUCCAAAGCAGAUGCCAACCCCUUCCUUCUCCACCAGGUUCAUGUUGAAGGGAUUGUGCCAGGGUACCUGAGGCAGCACCAAUUCUCUGAGCCUCUCUGCUCCCAGCUGGUUCUGGAGGCGACACGGGAGCUUUUGUUUUUUGUUCACUGCCUUAUUCCAACCCUGAAAAGAACGCCUGGCAAACAGAUGGUGUUCAGUAAGUAUCUCUAGAAUAGAUCAAUUCUUUUCUUCCACCAGCUUCCAUGGGACAGACACUGCUACACAGAUGACGAGGCAUACAGCUCUCCAGUAUUUAGAAAUGCUUACAUUCCCAAUCUCAGCUCAGUAUUGGCAUUCUAACCCUAGCAACAUUCCUGGAAUCUUUCUGAAUUUCACAGAGGACA
This is a long non-coding RNA of Meriones unguiculatus (Mongolian gerbil), 2644 nucleotides long. RefSeq lists it as uncharacterized. The record is from RefSeq and is a predicted model, not a curated record. Lineage: Eukaryota; Metazoa; Chordata; Mammalia; Rodentia; Muridae. The transcript has 4 exons.